UGGGCCUUAGAAUAAAUUUGUUGACGGCC
Molecule: non-coding RNA, 29 nt
Filed under: Mus musculus (house mouse)
Lineage: Eukaryota; Metazoa; Chordata; Mammalia; Rodentia; Muridae
Source: RNAcentral